Non-coding RNA from Phalacrocorax carbo (great cormorant), 2523 nucleotides. Lineage: Eukaryota; Metazoa; Chordata; Aves; Suliformes; Phalacrocoracidae. The record is from RefSeq and is a predicted model, not a curated record.
GGAGCCGGCAGUGGUUACUGGAGGCACAGCUAGUGCCCUUCCUGCCAAACUUUGCUUAUUUUUCCAAAAGUGGGGAAGCUUCUGGGCUGGAAAAAGCAACGAGUGGUGCUCUGGGGAGCAUCGCUCGGCCCCCAGCACUGCUGCAUGUUGGAGAGGAGCAGCAGUUUGUGUGCACCAGCAUGCAUCAGGCCAGUGAGGAGGGGAUACAGCUGCAACCCAGGAACACUCAUGCAAAUAAUUUUGCAUUGCAAUGCAAACUUCUGGGUAAUUUUUCAUUUCACACGGAGGCAGCAUUCCUCCAGUGCACCCCCCCGAUUCCUCCAGCACCCCCGACGUGUGUUACAGACCCUGAUAGCAUCAGGACCACAUUACCGCUGUUUCCAUUCCCCGUGUCAAAUGUCAGACCACCACCACGGCGGGGCAUGGCCGGGCAUUUUCCAGAUGGUUGCUCUUCACCGUGGGGGGACCCCGAAAGUGCUGCCACAUUGCUUUGUGGUGCAUGUUACCCCAGUCUAAAUUUCGCUUAUUUCCAUCUCAAAGACCCCAUUCUUGAGAGAGCAGAGAUCUUCGUGGCCUUCUGCUUGUUGCUUUAUACAUUUUGGCAUGUGCCUGCUCAUUUUACAAUAGAGCAGCUGUUUGUGCCUCUGCAGACAUAUUUUGUAGGUGCAACUUAAGCAAAACUUUUGAUGUGUUGGGCUUAGAGGUCACCCGAGGAAUGUCAGUGUUUGUCAUCAGGAACAUGGGCCAAGUCCUACUCACCUUCUCUGAAAAAAACCCCUUUGAAGCCAGGAGAAGGACUCAUGAGCACAAGGGGAAGAAUUUGGGCUGUAGAACAUAAAGGUACAUUUCACAUCGUGACCUUUUAUUCUUUUUUAUUUUUAAUUUAUUGUCUUAUGGAAGUUUCUCCUCUCUCCUUUCCUCCCCUGAACUUGACACCAACGCUGGUCAGACAAAAAGUCAGACACUCAAUAAGCAUUGGAAAACUUGUCUGAUAGAGUUCAAAGGGCUGGGAAAUCUAAUUUAUUUGCUAAAUGUUGAAUAUAACCUGAGUUUAUGCAACUGCAUCCUUCAGGGUAUUGAGAAGGUGCUGAAAACACAGUAACAAGCAGCUUUGUUUUCUGGGAUAAAGUUUAAAAGAUACUGAGAAAUACAACAAAUAGAGAAAAAAUCCUCAGGGAAGUUGGCAAAACCUUUGUAAAGACGGUAACAGAUGCCCCCAAAGAGGAAAUUACAACAUGUGGCAGCUGUGCUUUUUUGGUUAAGCAACUUUUCGCAAAAGUUCAAAGCAUCUGGGGAAAGUAACUGGUAACAGGGUGAGACAGAUUUAUGGAGCCCACACAUGGUAAUAUUUUUGUAUAAAAUUAGUAAAAAACCAUUAGAUCCCUAGAUGAAGAGAUUAAUUCAUACAAGUUUGCAUUCUUUGAAGAGCAAUCAUAUUUUGACUUCGUAAACUGGAAGAAUUGAGUAAUUUCUUGGAUUAAAUGAUCACAAGAGUUGUAAUCUGUAAUAAAAAUCCAUGCAGGGCUGCCAGGCUUUGUUUCUCGGAGGAUUAGGGUAAUGAGUUGAUUUGACCUUAGCAGAAUGCAUCCCAGACUGCAACCCCGUUACCUGGAUCUAAUGGGUGGAUUCAGAAAGAUGAGGCAGUUAAUCAAAGCCUUCAACAUAUUUUUUUAAUAUGGGGAAAUUUAUUGUUUAUGCGAGUUGCUGGAUUGAUAAAUUUAGGAGAAAAGCUUUGCAUAAAUCUAUGGUGUAUGGCAAGGGCACUGCCUGGGCUUAGCUAGCCAGCCUCCUGUGUGCUACGUAAAUAUAUAUGUGUGUAUAUACACACACACACGUGUGUGUAUAUAUAAGCCCCUAGAAAUGUCGUCUGUAGCCAUGAAAAGGACAGUCUGCAACAGCUCACACUGCAAAUUUAUGUUUAUUCUCUCUUUUUACAGCACUUUAGUGUUCUUGUGCUUUGUGUUUUGGUGAGACAGCCAGGAGAGACCCUGGCCAUCUGCUGCCAGAGUCACCAUAUAUAUCAUGGGAGAAAGAAGACAGACUCAGAUCUUCUGUGAGGCUUUGGAUUUUCACCCCAAAACCUCUGACGUACCCACUCCACGCUCCCAGACCAAUUAAUCCUUCCGCAGAUGAGCAGCACGAGGCCAGGCAAAAAACCCAGCAGGUACCCCUGGGUAUGUGGAGGGAGAAGGAAACGGUAAGUGCGCUUUCCCACCACCUCCUCCUCCUGACCUGCCCAUCCCUGGUGCGUGCUGGCCAUCCCUGGGGGUCACCACACCGCGGUGCCCCACAUGUGCCCCCCAGCCCACGUGGGCGCAGGUGCUCCUGCGCGGAGACGCAUUUACAGAAGGCGAAGAGAGGCCGGAGGAAGCCGCAGUCACGCGAGCUGCAUGUGGUUUAGGGAGCAAGUGCCAACAUCUCUCACUCUCACUGUCCCAGUGUUGCUCCGAGGGCAACCUGAUCUGCCUUUAAUCUACUCUGACCACAGGACAAAUGGUUUAAAUAAAAUCCUGCAUGACUGAG